CCUACUCUUUGUAUAGGAGAUCUUAAUGAGCUUCUCUAUGAUUUUGAUAUAAGUUCUCCUAAUGUGAUUAUUUAUGGUACGCAUGCUUUUCGUGCGCUUGUCAAACAAUGUGGUUUUAUUGAUCUUGGUUAUAGUGGUCUUGCUUACACUUGGAAUAAAAGAUACACCUCUAAACCCACUCUUGAGCGUCUGGACCAUUGUUUUGUUAAUGUAGAUUGGUGUGAUAUAUAUCCUAACUCUAAUGUCUAUAAUCUGGCCAUUAUUAUAGACCAUGCUCCCAUUCUUUUACGUACUGAUGCUCUCACUCAAAAACCUAAAAGAAACUUUAAAUUUGAAAACUACUGGCUCAUGGAAAAGGAUUUUCACAAUCAUGCUAAGAAUAUUUGGAUUAGAACUAGGAAUAAAUCUUUCCACAAUAGAAAUACUAACCUUGCAGGUGCUUUGAGAGCUUGGUACAAGAAGAAAAAACCACUUCAACAAGAGUUGGAUUCACUACUGCAUGAUGCUGCUAACGCGACACUACGAUCAGAGACCCUUCGACGAAACUAUGUGCGAUGCCAUAAUCGCAAACAGUGGUGUAAAAUAACCUAA
This 591-nucleotide ribosomal RNA is filed under the name Triticum aestivum (bread wheat). RNAcentral describes it as "partial small subunit ribosomal RNA". The record is from RNAcentral. Lineage: Eukaryota; Viridiplantae; Streptophyta; Magnoliopsida; Poales; Poaceae.